UGGAAGACUUCAUUGGCGCUAUAAAGUGUCGGUAAUUCGUCACAGGACGUCGCGUGGUACAAUUGGCCGAUGAGGUUACCAUUCAUCCCGCCCCCAUCUGAGGUGACGGGAAAGGGCUGGGGAAUUUCCACUUCUGAUUAAAAUGAUGGCUUAAGUGACGACCCUCAAGAAUUGGUAAAAUUUGGAGUUGACUUCACCCUGCGCUUGGUGAAGCUUAUGCAUCAAGGACGCGAGAGGCACCAAAGUAACGCAGCUCCCACCUGUCGCUCUCCGCCGGGCGCCUAGACUGUGACUGGAGAGUAACUGCAUGGGGAUUGGAGGAAAGGAGCGAUCAGUCUCAGCGAGGCUCCACCUUUCUGCCAUUGCCUGGUUGGAGGAACGUAGCGUCAGUCACCGGAGCGGUCGCCGCCUCCGGGACAGGUCUCCUAAAGGACUGGAGUAUGAAGAGUAUGAAGAGAAAACAGGGCUGGUCAUCACACUGGAGGUUUCUAAGCUCAUCCAGCCAAAGGAGUUCCUGUGGUGAGAAGACCCAUUCCAGUGCCUUUCGGACCCCCACCAGGCCCAACAACUGCAGGAACAGAAACAUAGCCCAGGGCUGUCAGCAACAGCAGCAGAAACAUUAAUAAUAGUAACAUUUAUUGAAUACUUCCUAUGUGCUAGGCAUUGUAUAUCAGCUUCACUGAAUGCUAAAACAUUCCUAUGAGGUAGGUACAAUAAUUAUUCCCAUUGUACAAAGAAGAAAACUGAGACCUUGAGAGAUUGGUUAUUUCCCGGAGGUCACACAACUGGGAUGUGAUAAGCAGAUUGGUUCUACUGCAAAGCCCAAGCCUCCUAACUUCCUCAGUGAGUAAGAAUGAUGCCAGAAGCCACCUGUGUUUUUAUUUACUGACUAACAAAAGGGUCAGCAUUUCCUCUCCUAGGACCUCAGUUUUCUUCUAGGUUUUAUAUUCCUAUCUGUGGUUGAUCAACCCAAAGAGGUUGAGAAAGGAGUUGAAUCA
Microcebus murinus (gray mouse lemur) is the source of this 998-nucleotide non-coding RNA. Lineage: Eukaryota; Metazoa; Chordata; Mammalia; Primates; Cheirogaleidae. The record is from RefSeq and is a predicted model, not a curated record.